UCCACUAUGACCGAGUGGUUAAGGUGUCAGAUUUGAAUUAUUAUGUCAUUUAUCUGAUGCACUUUGUGCGCGUAGGUUCAAAUCCUGCUGGUGGAG
Fomitiporia mediterranea MF3/22 is the source of this 96-nucleotide transfer RNA. It matches the Rfam family "tRNA". Rfam says of the family: Transfer RNA (tRNA) molecules are approximately 80 nucleotides in length. Their secondary structure includes four short double-helical elements and three loops (D, anti-codon, and T loops). The record is from Rfam. NCBI's taxonomy places the organism in Eukaryota, Fungi, Basidiomycota, Agaricomycetes, Hymenochaetales, Hymenochaetaceae.